RNAcentral lists this non-coding RNA (30 nucleotides) under Mus musculus (house mouse). Lineage: Eukaryota; Metazoa; Chordata; Mammalia; Rodentia; Muridae. The record is from RNAcentral.
UGAAAAGGACAGAAAGGAAAAGACCUCAGU